Molecule: non-coding RNA, 239 nt
Filed under: Enterococcus thailandicus
Lineage: Bacteria; Bacillati; Bacillota; Bacilli; Lactobacillales; Enterococcaceae
Description: T-box sequence
Rfam family: T-box leader
About the family: Uncharged tRNA acts as the effector for transcription antitermination of genes in the T-box leader family.
Source: RNAcentral
AUCAUGACGUUGAACAAGAGGAGUAACUAGUGAUUUAUUUUUAGAGAGAGAGCGAAUAGCUGAAACGUUCUUAAUAAUAGCUGGUGAAGGUAGCUUGGAAGUCUUUGUCUUGAAUCUCAUUAUGCUAUUCAAUGAGGGAGUAGAGAUAAACGAGUCGUGAUCGUUAACUCACUUGAGAGGUAGUAGCAAAACUUGCUAGUACAAAUUAGGUGGUACCGCGUAAAUUAUACGUCCUAAAA